Molecule: long non-coding RNA, 6778 nt
Organism: Acinonyx jubatus (cheetah)
Lineage: Eukaryota; Metazoa; Chordata; Mammalia; Carnivora; Felidae
Exons: 2
Source: RefSeq, a predicted model, not a curated record
CAGCCCUGGGUUGGAGUUACAUUGGUAACUUUGCUCUAAAUUCCCUCUUAAAUGGAAAAAAAAACAUGGACGGAAGGCAGAGGAGCAUAAAUCUUGCAAGUUGCUUUUCCCGAGAAACGCCAGAACGAGCCCUAAAUGAAGACACCGUGCGCUGCUGGCGGCCGUAUUCUUCUCAUUUCGAUUUCGACAAGUGGUUCCAGCCAGAGAAGCAUUUAGAAGACCCUGGUAAAUUUUUGGAAUGCUCAUGCAAUUUGUACCUCCAACUAAAUAACAAUAUUUCCUGAAGUAACUAAUUCUGUAACUUGGAAAAAAAUCUCUGACUCUACUUACCUCAUGCAGAGGGCCAUGACAUAUGGCUUAAAUGCCCAAGAGUUUAAGUCACGCUACACGUAAGUGGUAAAACUACUCUUUUGUCAUUUUACUCUUCCCUUCCUGCUUAGAAAAAUUUUAAUGUUUAAACCUCUCUAUAAAUUGUAUUUUUUCCCCAGAAAGCAGAGGUCACAGAGAUAAAUGUCAGCUGUCAGAAGAGCUGCAAAUGAAGGCCAUGUUCUUUGAUAAUGGUUUCUGAGAAGAGAGACCAUCAGAGUGAAAUCUGGUAAUCCCGUAUUUCUGAUUUCAUGUCUACUGAGACGCUCAAACUUGAGUGCAGAGCUUGGUAAAGUACUGAUUGCUGAAAGGUAGCUCUGUCUCUUGGGGGAUCUGGAAUGAGACCUAGUAGAAAUUUUCAUUCAAGUUGAAUGGAAAACAUAAAAGAGACUGUUCUAUGGAACUCAGAAGUCUGGCAAUGACGGAUUUAUUCCAUGUGUGAAAGACUGGGAUAAGUGUUCUUCCCAUGGUUGCAUUUUAUUUUUAAAUUUAGCUAUUUCUGAAGAAGAUGAUCCUGAAUUAAUUUAUGGGGAAAUUAUGCUCCUUCUUGCCUAAAUCUAUGGUGUGAAAUGCACCCAUUUCUGAAAGGAUUCUUUUAAUAAUAUUCCCUCAUUUUAUGAGAUUCCAUGGCACCAUAGCAUGACCAGACAAAUUACCUUCUAGACAUAGCCUAAUUUCCCAUCAUCCUAAUUCUUAAAGAUUUUUCAGAUUCUUUUUUCAGUAGGAGAAAUUCUGUAAGAUGAUCAGAUUCAUUAUCUUCCUGAUGAACAAAGUUGUACCUGAACUGUCUUAAAAGUGCUUCUUUUCAUUAAAAAAAAAAAGCUACAGCAAACGGAAGGCAUCUAUUAUAUAACUCCCUGGAGUGGAUCCCUCUCCUGUUAACUCAAAUUUUCAGGAAGCUUGAAUUCCUCCAAUUCCAUUUUAAUGCCUUUUUUUUAAUUUUUUUUUUCUCAUUCUGUUUCAAUGGCAAUGGAGAACAGCUGGUCACCAUCCUCUGUGAUAAUAACCUUCAUAUAGUUGAAACUCGCAUGGUUUUGGACAUGGCACUCGCAAAAACAUCCCCUUGCAAAUGAUGUAGCUUAUUUGGUAUUUCCCCCCUGUAAAUAGCUCGACUCUUCCAGCGACUAUCAAAUUUUGGCUCUGUUCGGUAUAAUGCAAGCAUUUUCUGCCUCGUCUAUUCAGGAAUGUCUUCCGAGGAGGUUUCCCAAUAAAAUUUAUUGUGUUUAAUUUAUGACACACAAUGUAAGAAGAAUGGAAUGCUUUUCUGUUAGGAUUUGCAUUGAUAAUGAAAGGUUACCAUAGUGCCGGGCUGCUUUUACCAAAUUUGCCAAAUUCUGAAGGGAAUGCCAAUUAGAAGGCGGUAAUGUUUCUCACUGCAACAGAUUGAGACCAAUACCUGGUGGUGAGGACCCGUCGCUGUUGGCUGGACCCUACUUCUAAUUGGAGAGAAGGCAAAUGCUAGAUCAAACUGAGUGUUUACGAAGUGAUAUCAAUCAUUCCCAGGAAUGGCCACACCCCGAGAAAGCUGAGGAAGUGAUUCAAUCUUUCUGAGGUCAUCUUUUCUAUUAGUUAUCGGGGUAGCCAAAAGUCUGAAAACGCUCACAUUUUGCUCUCUUUAGGAAAAAACAACAUUGAUUUUAGAGGCUUUUGUUAUGGAGGCCAGGGGGAUUUUCCCACUGCAGCAAAGAGGAAGCUGGGUUUGGACUGGGAAGCCAGACUUUUCUUGGCCUGAGUUACUCACUUGAAUGGGAUUCUGGUUUGCCCCCUCCUCACCUCUCCAGCCCCCAAGCAGCUAGAAGCCCCACCUCCUCCCUUGGACCAUAUGGGGAAGCUGGCUCAGUGGCUGUUAUUCUACGGACUCUAAGUUCACACAGCUGUUCAUUCCCUGCUUAAUGUACCGGUAAUUACAGCAAAUGUGCUCUUCUCUUUUUCCAAUCAUGCAACUUUCUUCUAAUGGAAAAUGAUUUGUUUUUAACAACUUCCAUGCAUUUUGUUCUUUAAUAAGAAAGGGUGUCUCGUGGUACCGGGGGAUUGAAUUCUCUAUAAAAAGCAAAAGUCUCUGUAUCAGUUUCCAGCUCCAUAGGAGAGCUCCGUGGGACUGCCAAAAUUGGGAGGCGGGGGGAGACUUAAGUGGGUGUAACUAACUUGAUAUGAAUAGGUCAGUUGGGAAACAAAGAAAGCUCAUCGCCUUCUGCACGUGGAGGUGGUGAAAGAACAUUUUUAAAAAAUGGGAAACUGGGAAAAAUCAAAAGUACAAAUUGAGCUCUUGUUUCAUGAUCCAAAUUCAAUGUGCGCUCAAAGGGUUUUUAAAACAAAUAUCUGAAGAGCUGUUCACUUAUCUUGGUUCUCUCUUUUGGAGCACGUAAAUGUCUUGCUUUGAUGGUUGGGUUGGGUGGAGACUCAAAGGCUAGCAAGGGAUGGAUCUUUCCCUUGAGCCACGCCAAGCUCUGGGGCACAGAUCAAACGUGUGUGUUCACAUUAUCAUUUCAUUUGUGGAUAAAAUAUAUCACCCUUGGAAUCUCUGCCCUUACAGCUCCCUAAAUGGCACUGGGAAUCAUUUCAAGGGGAUCAUUUUUUAAAGCAAAACUUUUCCAACUCAGAAUACUUUAUUCCGGGGCUUUUAUUAAAAAAAAAAAAAUUAGUUAAGCAACAGUAGUAGCAAAGAAAACCAAAUCAAAUCACUGUGUGUGGAUGGAAAUGCUAGUUCUAUACAACACAUGAAGCUAAUUUGAUCUGAAGGAUGAUAGCCAAAUGAAUGUUUCCUUUACAUGAGAAUUCAGAAUUCAAGGAAGUUGAAAGCAUGAUAGACUAUGCUUGCAAAUCAAAUAUGACUCAUUUGACUUUUUAAGGAUUCAUAGAAUUUAAGAUUUAGCUGAAGUUAUAAAAGAGGUAUUCUGAGCCCCAAAUCCUUCAGUGUUAAAAUGUAUCCAUAUCUCCUAGGGCAUUAAUUUUAUUACGUGCAUAUUCCCUUUACACUAAUAAUGGAGAGUAGCAAGAUGCUUGCCAGAAAUCACCGGUCUUCUGCUCCGUCCCUCUUAUCUAGCUCCCCCUCCAGAAUUCUUGCAUUUUUUCUCAGUAGUUCCUUCAGAAAUUUGAUGACACCAAAGUGAAGAAAUUUAAAAUACUCAUGUUGGAAGUUGAAAGUAAGUGGCUUCUAAAUUUACAAUAAGAGCAUUGGCAAGACAGUUGAUUUCCUCAAGAAGCACCACAGUCAAGGCAGCAGUGAUGAAGCACUUUUGUUCCUCUGAAGUCUUUAGUUAGAAGCUCCACAUGUGGCAAACUCCAGCGAGGGGGUCUGUGUUUCCUCCCCAUGAAUGCAGUGCAUGGGUCUGUUUGAUUUCACCCUUUAGGAAAUCAUUGUUUCCGGCUUUAUGGAAAGUGAAAAUUCUACCAAAUAUAAUUAAGCGAGUGUUGAGAAUGAGACUCUCUGGAAUUAGUAGCAAGACUCUAACCCAGGUGUCUAUCUUACCUCAGAUUCUAUUUCUUCGGACGAUUACAUCUGUAGCUUUGAGAUUUUAUUUUCGAAGCUUUAAGUUAUUUUGAUAUCCAUUAGACCAUCAAAACUAUAAAUAAGAUCUGAUGAAUGUCAGAGUAAGAAGUCGUAGGAUAAACAAUUGUCCUCAUCCUCCGUAUUCGUUCAGCAAAUACUGUUUUGUCUUUUCCAGCUUUAUUGGGGAAUAACUGACAAAUUUGUAUAUAUUUAAAAUGUACAAUGUGAUGAUUUGAUAAACAUUCUGAAGGAUUACCACAAUCAAGUUCAUUAGCACAUCCAUCACCUCACACAGUUACCUUUUAGUAUGUAUAUAAUGAGAAUGAUUAAUUAAGAUCUGCUCUUUUUGCAAAUUUUAAAUACGCAAUACAGUAUUAUUAACUAUAGUCACCAUGGUAUAGAUUGGAUUCCCAGGACCUAUCAGUUUUAUAACUUAAACUGUUUCUUUUGACCAACACCUCCCCAUUUCCUCCAUCCCUAGUCCCUGGCGACAACCAUUUUACUCUGUUUCUAUGAGUUCAAUUUUUUUAUAUUGCACAUAUAAAUGAUAUCUUGCAGUAUUUGUCCUUCUCUGUCUCGUUUAUUUCACUUAACAUAAUACCCUCCAGUUGCAUCCAUGACUUGGCAAACAACAGGAUUUCUUUCACUGUGUUUUAAAGGCGAAUACCAUUCCAUUGUAUUUAUGUCACGUCUUCUUUAUCCAUUCAUCUGUUGACAAAUGCUUAGGUUAAAUUGCCAAAAUCAGCUAUUGUGAAUAAUGUUGCAAUACACAUGGAAGUACAUUUUUCAAGAUAAUGACUUUUCUUUUCCUUUGGGUACAUACCCAGAAGUGGGAUUGCUGGGUCAUAUGUUAGUUCUAUUUUUAAUUUCUUAAGGAAGCUCCAUACUGUUUUACAUAGUGGCUGCACCAGUUUGCAUUCCCACCAACAUUACACACAGGUUCCCUUUUCUCCACAUCCUCGCCAGCAUUUGUUAUCUCUUUUUGGUAAUAGACAUCCUAAUAGAUGUGAAGUAAUAUCUCACUUUGGGUUUUAUUUGCACUUCCCUGAUGGUAAGUGAUGUUGAGCACUUUUUCAUGUAACUGUUGGCCAUUUCUAUGUCUUCUUUGGAAAAAUGUCUAUUCAGGUAUUUUGCCCAUUUUAAAACAGACUUAUUUUGUUUUGUUUUGUUUUGUUUUAAUUGAUUUGCUAUUGAGUUGGAUAAGUUCCUCAUGUAUUUAGACAUUAACCCCUCCCCAGGCAUAUUAUUUGCAAAUACCAUUCCCAUUCCAUUGGCUGCCUUUUCGUUUUAUUGAUUGUCUUCUUUGCUUGGGGAACAUCUCAGAUGGUAUCCCCUUUUUAGGGGCCAAUAAUUCAACAGUGAACAAAACAGACAAAAAUCUGCCUCAUGCAGGUUACAAUUUAGCAAGAAGAAACAGACAAAAUAUAUCAUUAAAAAAUAGGUUAAAUAGCAAUAAAAGCCAAGAAAAGAAAGUAUUGUUAAAAAAAAAAAGACCAAAAGCGAUGGAUUACAAUUUUACAUGAGGUGGCAGAGAAGACCUCACUGAUAGUGACUUAUAGCAUGUAUUUGAAGAAAGUAGGUUACAUACUCUAUGGCUAUCUGAGAGAGCUGUCCAGGCAAAGGGAAUAGGCAAUGCAAAGGUCCUGGGGAGGUAUAGAUCUAGAGUGUUCAAAGAGUAGCAAGGAGGCCAGGGUGCCUGGAGUGCACAAUGGGGCAGAUGUUAGGAAACAAGGUCAGAAAAGUAGGAGGGAGCCUGGUCAUGCAAAGCCAUAGUUUAUUAAAGGACGCUAGUUCUUACUUUGAGAUUUGGGAAGCCUUUGGAGACUUUUAAGCAGAAAAGGGACAGAAUCCAACAUACCUUUUAACAAGAUCAUUUGGGCUAUUAUGUUGAGAAUUGAUUCAAGGACAGCAAGGGGCAAAGCUGACCCCAGUCAAGGAGCUGUUAUAAUAAAGAGGCCAAGGUGGAAAAGCAGAACCGGUAGAUAUUAAGGGAGGUCCUACCGCACACCAGGCACUCUUGUAGACCUUGUGGAUAUAGCAGGGGAAAAACUGAGGCUCUGCUCCUAUGGGGUUGGCAUUCCUCUGAGAGGAACCAGACAAUUAACAAAUAAACCAAUGUAUAUAUAAAAUAUCAAGUGGUGAUAAGUUCUAUUGAAAGAAACCCAAAAGGAACGCUGGAACAUGUUCCCCAGGAACAACCCAGCUUAUGAUGUCAAAUACCUACAGAUAAAAGAAUGCCUGCAAAGAGGAGACGGGAAAAGCAAGUUGUGGUGUAAUCAAUCAGGGGAUAUUAUGCAGCAAUGAAAACGAAUGGUUGUAACUAUAUGAAACAUCGCAGGUGGAUCUUAGCAUUAUAAAUAUCACUGAAAAUAAGUUCAUAGAUAUUAAAAACGUCACGGUGCAUUUUUCAUAAAGGCAAGCACAUGUACAAGCUAAACAUAUACUUUUAAGGGGAUACACGUAGAUGUGUUAAAUAAUAUAAAGUAACUUUUCAAAAAUUGAUACUAUAAGAUUUGGGAUUGCAAUUAUCUUGGAUAAGGGGAGGCUAGGAAAUGCUUGGAGUGAUCCCAUAGGGUUCUGUGAGUGUUCAAGCUUUCAUGUUGGAUGUUGGACUCACGAGUUUAUAUUUGAAGGGAAAAAAAAAGAAGAAAGGAAAGAAAGAAAGGAGGGAGAAAGGAACGUAGGGAGAGAGGGAGGCACUCACAGGAGUUAAAACGGAGUGUAUGUCAUGAAGCAAAUAUUAUGGUAGAUCUGAUUUUAUGCCCCUGGGGUAAAGGGUUGGGGAGAGUUAUCAGGUAGUUGUUUGUAGUUUGUUUACUUGUUUUUUGGUAGAGUUGCUAAGGAAGCCCUCUGUAAGGAAAUGACAUGUGAGCAGAGACGUGGAUGGAUUGAGGAAGAAGUAAAAAAAAAAAAAAAAAAAAA